GAUGAACGCUAGCGGCAGGCUUAAUACAUGCAAGUCGAGGGGCAGCACGGUUAGCAAUAACUGGUGGCGACCGGCGCACGGGUGCGUAACACGUAUACAAUCUACCUUAAACAGGGGGAUAGCCUUUCGAAAGAGAGAUUAAUACCCCGUAAUAAAUUGAACGGCAUCGUUUGAUUUUGAAAGCUCCGGCGGUUUGAGAUGAGUAUGCGUCUGAUUAGCUAGUUGGUGAGGUAACGGCUCACCAAGGCGACGAUCAGUAGGGGAUCUGAGAGGACUAACCCCCACACUGGUACUGAGACACGGACCAGACUCCUACGGGAGGGCAGCAGUUAAA
This 334-nucleotide ribosomal RNA is filed under the name uncultured bacterium. RNAcentral describes it as "bacterial SSU rRNA". It matches the Rfam family "Bacterial small subunit ribosomal RNA", at positions 28 to 359 of the family's 1533-position model. The record is from RNAcentral.